AUAGCCUUUCGAAAGAAAGAUUAAUACCCGAUAGCAUAAUGAUUCCGCAUGGUUUCAUUAUUAAAGGAUUCCGGUAAAGGAUGGGGAUGCGUUCCAUUAGGUUGUUGGUGAGGUAACGGCCCACCAAGCCUUCGAUGGAUAGGGGUUCUGAGAGGAAGGUCCCCCACAUUGGAACUGAGACACGGUCCAAACUCCUACGGGAGGCAGCAGUGAGGAAUAUUGGUCAAUGGACGAGAGUCUGAACCAGCCAAGUAGCGUGCAGGAUGACGGCCCUAUGGGUUGUAAACUGCUUUUAUAAGGGAAUAAAGUGAGUCUCGUGAGACUUUUUGCAUGUACCUUAUGAAUAAGGACCGGCUAAUUCCGUG
Molecule: ribosomal RNA, 365 nt
Filed under: uncultured bacterium
Lineage: Bacteria
Description: bacterial SSU rRNA
Rfam family: Bacterial small subunit ribosomal RNA
Source: RNAcentral